CCUACGGGAGGCAGCAGUGGGGAAUAUUGCACAAUGGGGGAAACCCUGAUGCAGCGACGCCGCGUGAGUGAAGAAGUAAUUCGUUAUGUAAAGCUCUAUCAGCAGGGAAGAAAAUGACGGUACCUGAGUAAGAAGCCCUGGCUAACUACGUGCCAGCAGCCGCGGUAAUACGUAGGGGGCAAGCGUUAUCCGGAUUUACUGGGUGUAAAGGGAGCGUAGACGGCAGUGCAAGUCUGGAGUGAAAGGCGGGGGCUCAACCCCCGGACUGCUCUGGAAACUGUACGGCUGGAGUGCAGGAGAGGUAAGUGGAAUUCCUAGUGUAGCGGUGAAAUGCGGAGAUAUUAGGAGGAACACCAGUGGCGAAGGCGGCUUACUGGACUGUAACUGACGUUGAGGCUCGAAAGCGUGGGGAGCAAACAGGAUUAGAUACCCCUGUAGUC
RNAcentral lists this ribosomal RNA (440 nucleotides) under uncultured bacterium. Its description in RNAcentral is "partial 16S ribosomal RNA". It matches the Rfam family "Bacterial small subunit ribosomal RNA", at positions 338 to 795 of the family's 1533-position model. The record is from RNAcentral.